UGGGGAAUUUUGGACAAUGGGCGAAAGCCUGUUCCAGCCAUGCCGCGUGCAGGAUGAAGGCCUUCGGGUUGUAAACUGCUUUUGUACGGAACGAAAAGACUCCUUCUAAUAAAGGGGGUCCAUGACGGUACCGUAAGAAUAAGCGCCGGCUAACUACGUGCCAGCAGCCGCGGUAAUACGUAGGGUGCAAGCGUUAAUCGGAAUUACUGGGCGUAAAGCGUGCGCAGGCGGUUUUGUAAGACAGAGGUGAAAUCCCCGGGCUCAACCUGGGAACUGCCUUUGUGACUGCAAGGCUGGAGUGCGGCAGAGGGGGAUGGAAUUCCGCGUGUAGCAGUGAAAUGCGUAGAUAUGCGGAGGAACACCGAUGGCGAAGGCAAUCCCCUGGGCCUGCACUGACGCUCAUGCACGAAAGCGGGAGGAGCAAAC
Molecule: ribosomal RNA, 426 nt
Filed under: uncultured bacterium
Lineage: Bacteria
Description: bacterial SSU rRNA
Rfam family: Bacterial small subunit ribosomal RNA
Source: RNAcentral